UAAGGAAUAUUGGUCAAUGGGCGCAAGUCUGAACCAGCCAUGCCGCGUGAAGGAUGAAGGUCCUCUGGAUUGUAAACUUCUUUUAUCUGGGACGAAAACGGGAUUUUUAUCUCAAUUGACGGUACCAGAGGAAUAAGCACCGGCUAACUCCGUGCCAGCAGCCGCGGUAAUACGGAGGGUGCGAGCGUUAUCCGGAUUUACUGGGUUUAAAGGGUGCGUAGGUGGGCUUAUAAGUCAGUGGUGAAAUCUCCGAGCUUAACUUGGAAACUGCCGUUGAUACUAUAGGUCUUGAAUUAUCUGGAGGUAAGCGGAAUAUGUCAUGUAGCGGUGAAAUGCUUAGAUAUGACAUAGAACACCAAUUGCGAAGGCAGCUUACUACAUAUAAAUUGACGCUGAGGCACGAAAGCGUGGGGAUCAAACA
This 421-nucleotide ribosomal RNA is filed under the name uncultured bacterium. Its description in RNAcentral is "bacterial SSU rRNA". It matches the Rfam family "Bacterial small subunit ribosomal RNA", at positions 355 to 774 of the family's 1533-position model. The record is from RNAcentral.